UUGAACGCUGGCGGCAGGCCUAACACAUGCAAGUCGAGCGGUAGAGAGAAGCUUGCUUCUCUUGAGAGCGGCGGACGGGUGAGUAAUGCCUAGGAAUCUGCCUGGUAGUGGGGGAUAACGUUCGGAAACGGACGCUAAUACCGCAUACGUCCUACGGGAGAAAGCAGGGGACCUUCGGGCCUUGCGCUAUCAGAUGAGCCUAGGUCGGAUUAGCUAGUUGGUGGGGUAAUGGCUCACCAAGGCGACGAUCCGUAACUGGUCUGAGAGGAUGAUCAGUCACACUGGAACUGAGACACGGUCCAGACUCCUACGGGAGGCAGCAGUGGGGAAUAUUGGACAAUGGGCGAAAGCCUGAUCCAGCCAUGCCGCGUGUGUGAAGAAGGUCUUCGGAUUGUAAAGCACUUUAAGUUGGGAGGAAGGGCAGUAAAUUAAUACUUUGCUGUUUUGACGUUACCGACAGAAUAAGCACCGGCUAACUCUGUGC
Molecule: ribosomal RNA, 484 nt
Filed under: uncultured bacterium
Lineage: Bacteria
Description: partial 16S ribosomal RNA
Rfam family: Bacterial small subunit ribosomal RNA
Source: RNAcentral